GUUGACCUCGGAUCAGGUAGGAAUACCCGCUGAACUUAAGCAUAUCAAUAAGCGGAGGAAAAGAAACCAACAGGGAUUGCCCUAGUAACGGCGAGUGAAGCGGCAACAGCUCAAAUUUGAAAUCUGGCUCUCGGGCCCGAGUUGUAAUUUGUAGAGGAUGCUUUUGAUGCGGUGCCUUCCGAGUUCCCUGGAACGGGACGCCAUAGAGGGUGAGAGCCCCGUCUGGUUGGAUGCCAAAUCUCUGUAAAGCUCCUUCGACGAGUCGAGUAGUUUGGGAAUGCUGCUCUAAAUGGGAGGUAUAUGUCUUCUAAAGCUAAAUACCGGCCAGAGACCGAUAGCGCACAAGUAGAGUGAUCGAAAGAUGAAAAGCACUUUGAAAAGAGAGUUAAAAAGUACGUGAAAUUGUUGAAAGGGAAGCGUUUAUGACCAGACUUGGGCUUGGUUAAUCAUCUGGGGUUCUCCCCAGUGCACUUUUCCAGUCCAGGCCAGCAUCAGUUUUCCCCGGGGGACAAAGGCUUCGGGAAUGUGGCUCUCUUCGGGGAGUGUUAUAGCCCGCUGCGUAAUACCCUGGGGGGGACUGAGGUUCGCGCUUCUGCAAGGAUGCUGGCGUAAUGGUCAUCAACGAC
Molecule: ribosomal RNA, 626 nt
Filed under: Fusarium sp. BBA 65925
Lineage: Eukaryota; Fungi; Ascomycota; Sordariomycetes; Hypocreales; Nectriaceae
Description: eukaryotic LSU rRNA
Rfam family: Eukaryotic large subunit ribosomal RNA
Source: RNAcentral